CCUACGGGCGGCAGCAGUGAGGAAUAUUGGUCAAUGGGCGCGAGCCUGAACCAGCCAAGUAGCGUGAAGGAUGACUGCCCUACGGGUUGUAAACUUCUUUUGUAAAGGAAUAGAGUGAGGCACGUGUGACUUUUUGUAUGUACUUUAUGAGUAAGGAUCGGAUCACUCCGUGCCAGCAGCCGCGGUAAUACGGAGGAUCCGAGCGUUAUCCGGAUUUAGUGGGUUUAAAGGGAGCGGAGAUGGGUUGUUAAGUCAGUUGUGAAAGUUUGCGGCUCAACCUUAAAAUUGCAAUUGAUACUGGCAGCCUUGAGUACAGUUGAGGUAGGCGGAAUUCGUGGUGUAGCGGUGAAAUGCUUAGAGAUCACGAAGAACUCCGAUUGCGAAGGCAGCCUACUAAACUGCCACUGACAUUGAUGCUCGAAAGUGUGGGUAGCAAACAGGAUUAGAUACCCCUGUAGUC
This 460-nucleotide ribosomal RNA is filed under the name uncultured bacterium. RNAcentral describes it as "partial 16S ribosomal RNA". It matches the Rfam family "Bacterial small subunit ribosomal RNA", at positions 338 to 795 of the family's 1533-position model. The record is from RNAcentral.